This 253-nucleotide ribosomal RNA is filed under the name uncultured bacterium. RNAcentral describes it as "partial 16S ribosomal RNA". It matches the Rfam family "Bacterial small subunit ribosomal RNA", at positions 524 to 776 of the family's 1533-position model. The record is from RNAcentral.
UACGGGGGGAGCAAGCGUUGUUCGGAUUUACUGGGCGUAAAGGGCGCGUAGGCGGCUUUUCAAGUCGAUUGUGAAAUCCCCGGGCUUAACCUGGGAACUGCAGUCGAGACUGUCUAGCUAGAGUAUGGGAGAGGGAAGUGGAAUUUCAGGUGUAGCGGUGAAAUGCGUAGAUAUCUGAAGGAACAUCAGUGGCGAAAGCGACUUCCUGGACCAAUACUGACGCUCAUGUGCGAAAGCGUGGGGAGCAAACAGG